AGAGUUUGAUCCUGGCUCAGAAUCAACGCUGGCGGCGCGCUUAACACAUGCAAGUCGAACGAGAGAGGGGAGCACUCCCUGAGUAAAGUGGCGUACGGGUGAGUAACACGUGGGUAAUCUACCUUCUGGUGGGGAAUAACGCUGGGAAACCGGCGCUAAUACCGCAUGAGCCUGAAGAGGGAAAAAAGAAAUCUGCCGGAAGAGGACCCCGCGGCUGAUUAGCUAGUUGGUGAGGUAAAGGCUCACCAAGGCAAUGAUCGGUAGCCGGCCUGAGAGGGCACACGGCCACACUGGCACUGAAACACGGGCCACACUCCUACGGGAGGCAGCAGUGGGGAAUCUUGCACAAUGGGGGAAACCCUGAUGCACCCACGCCGCGUGAGUGAUGAACCCCUUCGGGGUGUAAAGCUCUUUCGGCAGGGACGAUAAUGACGGUACCUGAAAAAGAAGCUGCGGCUAACUACGUGCCAGCAGCCGCGGUAAUACGUAGGCAGCGAGCGUUGUUCGGAGUUACUGGGCGUAAAGAGUGCGUAGGCUGUUUUCUAAGUUGUGGUGUGAAAUCUCCCGGCUCAACUGGGAGGGUGCGCCAAAGACUGGGAGGCUAGAGGUAUGGGGAGAGGUAAGCGGAUCUCCUGGUGGUAGCGGUGAAAUGCAUAUAUAUCAGAGAAGAACACCUGCGGGUGUAGACUGCUUACUGGACCAUAACUGACGCUGAGGCACGAGAGCG
RNAcentral lists this ribosomal RNA (727 nucleotides) under uncultured bacterium. RNAcentral's name for it is "bacterial SSU rRNA". It matches the Rfam family "Bacterial small subunit ribosomal RNA", at positions 8 to 761 of the family's 1533-position model. The record is from RNAcentral.